GUAAAGACCAGCCACAAAAAGCUAUAAAACAAGAUAAAUUAUUCUCUCCAAAUAAAGAAAGCCAAAGUCCAUGAGUGGGCACCGGGCAACAAGGAAACGAUGUGGAGACUCUCGCCCGGAGUCCCCUGUGGGCUACGGGCAUAUGAGUACUCCAGGAUGUAUAUUAAACAAAUUGUUUCAGUUACCUACACCCCCAUUGUCAAGACACCAGCUGAAGCGGUUAGAAGAGCACAGGUACCAGAGUGCUGGACGGUCCCUGCUUGAGCCCUUAAUGCAGCGAUACUGGGAAUGGCUAGUUGGAAGAGUUCCUUCCUGGAUUGCCCCAAAUCUCAUCACCAUCAUUGGAUUGUCAGUAAACAUCUGCACAACUCUUUUAUUAAUCUUCUAUUGCCCUACAGCUACAGAGCAGGCACCGCUGUGGGCAUAUAUUGCCUGUGCCUGUGGCCUUUUCAUUUACCAGUCUUUGGAUGCUAUAGAUGGGAAACAGGCAAGAAGAACCAAUAGCAGUAGUCCUUUGGGAGAACUUUUUGAUCAUGGUUGUGAUUCACUAUCAACAGUGUUUGUGGUUCUUGGAACUUGUAUUGCAGUGCAACUGGGGACAAACCCUGAUUGGAUGUUUUUUUGCUGUUUUGCUGGGACGUUUAUGUUCUAUUGUGCACACUGGCAAACUUAUGUUUCUGGAACAUUGCGAUUUGGAAUGCUACUUCAUAUGUCCAGCAAAAUGUUGUAAGAUGUCUGCCCUCCACCCAAGACAGAGUCGAUCAUCUUUGACACCUGCUUAGUCUCCUGAGUCUGCUACUGAGUGUAAUUCUCACCACUGACCAGAAUUGAUGUGACUGAAGUACAAAUCUUCAUAAUAAUCAUGCAUUUGCUGGCAGUGAUUGGAGGACCACCUUUUUGGCAAUCCAUGAUUCCAGUGCUGAAUAUUCAAGUGAAAAUUUUUCCUGCACUUUGUACUGUAGCAGGGACCAUAUUUUCCUGUACGAAUUACUUCCGUGUAAUCUUCACAGGUGGUGUUGGGAAAAAUGGAUCCACAAUAGCAGGAACAAGUGUCCUUUCUCCUUUUCUCCAUAUUGGGUCCGUGAUUACAUUAGCUGUGAUGAUCUACAAGAAAUCAGCAGUGCAGCUUUUUGAAAAGCAUCCCUGCCUUUAUAUACUGACAUUUGGUUUUGUAUCUGCUAAAAUCACCAAUAAGCUUGUGGUGGCACACAUGACUAAGAGUGAAAUGCAUUUGCACGACACGGCAUUCAUAGGCCCAGCACUUUUGUUUCUGGACCAGUAUUUUAACAGCUUUAUCGAUGAAUAUAUAGUACUUUGGAUUGCCCUGGUCUUCUCUUUCUUUGAUUUGAUCCGCUACUGUGUCAGUGUCUGCAAUCAGAUUGCAUCUCACCUGCACAUACAUGUCUUCAGAAUCAAAGUUUCUACAGCUCAUUCUAAUCAUCAUUAGUGAUGGAGUGAUGUUCUAUAGGAAACUCAUGUUUUCUGCAGGAAAGAAUCUGAACAUAUUCAUGAGAAUGGGGAGGACAAGAACAAAUGUAAUUUAUAAUAAUCACUGUUGUAUAACUUUUAUUCUUUGUUAUUGGUAACACUCCCUAAUGAUUCUGGGUGAGAAUGGGAAUUUCAAGUCCCGUCCUGUAAAUUGUACAUGUUGAAAUACGGGGUUUGGCCCAAGAAAGUGUGUAGGAAAAAAUGCCACAUGUUUAUAACUGUCCUGGAUUCAGAAUAAGAUUGUCAUGGGGGCAGAUCCCCAGCAGUGGAGAUUUCUUAUGUAGAAUAUUUACAGGCCAAAAAACGGUUGCUUUAUAAUUGAACAAAUCAUCACCUUUUAGUGACACCUUUGAUUCGUGUCUUGUCAAGCUUUCUUUACUGAGAACUCGGCUUGUGGCCCAGAUGUAUCCCACUGGCUUGUGAGGUGGAGCUAGCGACAAACGCCUUGAAUUUGGAUGGAAGGCUUUUCUGUCCUGCCCUUGUUGAGGAAGUCAGUUUUAAUUAGCAUUGGUGUCUCUCUCGGGCUGGGGAGCCCUGUCAGCAUGUGGAAUAAUGUACCUUUGUUGAUCCAUUUUAUUUUUUUAAAUAAAUAUAUGAUCUGAAAGCCAGUGGGUUUUUUUUUUCCAAUUUUAUUCACUGGAAAUAUAAACUAUGUUUUAAUGUCAUUUUUAAAACUUUAAGCAAAAUUAAUUUCUGUUCUUUAAUAAACAAGAAAAUUUGGUC
Molecule: RNA transcript, 2211 nt
Organism: Molossus molossus (Pallas's mastiff bat)
Lineage: Eukaryota; Metazoa; Chordata; Mammalia; Chiroptera; Molossidae
Gene: CEPT1
Gene name: choline/ethanolamine phosphotransferase 1
Exons: 9
Source: RefSeq, a predicted model, not a curated record